Vidua chalybeata is the source of this 473-nucleotide long non-coding RNA. RefSeq lists it as uncharacterized. The record is from RefSeq and is a predicted model, not a curated record. The transcript is spliced from 3 exons. Lineage: Eukaryota; Metazoa; Chordata; Aves; Passeriformes; Viduidae.
CAUUGCACACUCGUGCCCUUCAGAGCAUUAAAAACUCACACUAGAUAUAGGUAGAAGUGGGGAAUUAUUUUGGCAAAACGAGCUGACACGACCUUCAAGGAGCUCAGGAGUCAUUUCCCAGCAGUCCAGCCCUCUGAGUUUUAUCUCCACAGUGGCUGCUCAGAACACAAAAGAAACCAACUUUUCCUGCCUGAAAAGAUCAGCUAUCUUGAUUUCACCGAGACUUUUCCUCUCAUCAGUGUCAAUGUCUGGCUGCUCCUCUAAGUUCAGAGCAAACUCUGCUCUUUCAGCGUGCAGGGACUUGCAGGGAUGUGAACAUGGAAUUCACUUUAGUCACGCUGCUGGAAGCCCACCCAGAUGGGGAUACAGGAAAUUUGUGGGUAUAGGAGGUCAGUGAAAAAGGAAUAAAUAAAAUUUAGAGAUGAUGGGAUGUACAAAAAAUAUAGAAAAUAAUAAAAAAAGAAUGAACAGAA